Long non-coding RNA from Salvia miltiorrhiza (redroot sage), 533 nucleotides. RefSeq lists it as uncharacterized. The transcript has 3 exons. The record is from RefSeq and is a predicted model, not a curated record. NCBI's taxonomy places the organism in Eukaryota, Viridiplantae, Streptophyta, Magnoliopsida, Lamiales, Lamiaceae.
CAGGCUGUCUACACUCUUUCCAGCCACCCUACCAGCCCCAAAUUUCACUUUCCAGGCAGGCUGUCAAAUUUCAAUUCUUAAGCACGUUCAAGCCAAUUUCAGUUGGCAUUCUCAAUAUCCAGAAUUUUCAUACUUCUUUUCUCCACAGCAAAAAAUUCAAGUGAGCAGCAACAUAGCUCGAUUCAUUCAACAGCAGGCUUUGAGCAUCAGGAGGACUAGCACUGCUAUUCCGAUUCAGAGAUAAGGUUAAACGACAGGCUUUGCCUAUACAGGUUAAUGGCUGGUGAUGACGGGGCAGAGCUGAGGCUAGGGUUCAACUCCGUAUUUUGUCUUCCGCUAUUGCACUAGCAUUUAUUUGUCUUUUGUUUCUCCAACUUAAGACUUUUAUGUUAAAUUCUGAAUUAUGUUUUUAUCGAGCUUAAACUCUCAACUUCUAGCUCUAUGUUAUUUAACGUUGGUUAUCGGAAGCAUGAAACCGAACUUGUGAUCCUAAGGCUUUGAAUGUUGUUGAUUGAUUAGUAUCACUUGAUUUC